GGAAGGACUGCAGCAAGAACUCGAAGAAUGUAAAGAUGAUGAUGUAGUUACGAACAUACUUUCUAAAGGUGUAAAACUAAGGGAGUACACAAAGGGAGUUGAAAACAAUCUGCGGCAGGUUGAGCUGGAUUCCAUACAGGAAUACAUUAAAGAAAGUGAUAACUUAGUUUCACUUCAUGAACAAAUUCGUGACUGCGAUAACAUUUUAUCACAGAUGGAAACUCUUCUCA
RNAcentral lists this unclassified non-coding RNA (230 nucleotides) under Hevea brasiliensis (rubber tree). Lineage: Eukaryota; Viridiplantae; Streptophyta; Magnoliopsida; Malpighiales; Euphorbiaceae. The record is from RNAcentral.